UACGGAGGAUCCGAGCGUUAUCCGGAUUUAUUGGGUUUAAAGGGUGCGUAGGCGGCUUAGUAAGUCAGCGGUGAAAUUUUGCAGCUUAACUGUAACAGUGCCGUUGAUACUGCCAGGCUAGGAUUUGGUUGCUGUGGGUGGAAUGUGUGGUGUAGCGGUGAAAUGCUUAGAUAUCACACAGAAUAUCGAUUGCGAAGGCAGCUCACAAAGCCAAGAUUGACGCUGAGGCACGAAAGUGUGGGGAUCAAACAGGAUUA
RNAcentral lists this ribosomal RNA (257 nucleotides) under uncultured prokaryote. RNAcentral describes it as "partial 16S ribosomal RNA". It matches the Rfam family "Bacterial small subunit ribosomal RNA", at positions 524 to 780 of the family's 1533-position model. The record is from RNAcentral.